Molecule: unclassified non-coding RNA, 450 nt
Filed under: rhizosphere metagenome
Description: partial ribosomal RNA internal transcribed spacer region
Source: RNAcentral
UUCCACGGGGUGCACCCGCUGAAGCCUCCCGCAGCGACUCUAAAGCAAAUUGCGUCAGUCCGCCACGCGGGCGACACCACGAUCCCACUGGGACUUCCGCAACUGUCUCUGACGGUGCUGAUACCAGUGGCCUGUGCAACAGGUUCACAGAUCAAACAGUGGUGGCCACUGUGUGGUUAAGAUAUGACCGGUCUCCGCUGUAGCCAGCCGGAGAAGCCACGUUCCGUAGGUGAACCUGCGGAAGGAUCAUUACAGAGUUAGGGUCUUUUCAGGCCCGACCUCCAACCCUAUGUGUACCUACCUUUGUUGCUUUGGCGGGCCCGCUGGGGUGACCCACCGGCGGCCUUUGGCUCCCGAGUGCCCGUCAGAGACCCAUCCAAACCUGUUAACUGUGUCGUCUGAGUACCAACAUAAUAAUUAAAACUUUCAACAACGGAUCUCUUGGUUCUG